GCCUGCACUCCUCAGGAUCUUGUGCAACAAACAGUUCCUUCCACUCGUCUGAUCUCGGAAGCUAAGCAGGGUCCGGCCUGGUUAGUACUUGGAUGGAAGGCCACCUGGGAAUACCAGGUGCUGUAGGCU
This 129-nucleotide ribosomal RNA is filed under the name Mus caroli (Ryukyu mouse). Lineage: Eukaryota; Metazoa; Chordata; Mammalia; Rodentia; Muridae. The record is from RNAcentral.